GCGGUUAUACGAGGGGCCCAAGUUGAUAGAUAACGGCGUAAAGGGUGGUUAGGGAACAUCAUAUAGUAAAGCCGAACAUCUUCAAUGUUGUUAUAAGCUCUCGAAGAUUGGAAGCCCCACCACGAAAGUGGCUUUACCGCUCCUGAACCCACGAAAGCCAGGGAA
RNAcentral lists this ribosomal RNA (165 nucleotides) under Mullus surmuletus (striped red mullet). RNAcentral describes it as "partial small subunit ribosomal RNA". Lineage: Eukaryota; Metazoa; Chordata; Actinopteri; Syngnathiformes; Mullidae. The record is from RNAcentral.